RNAcentral lists this transfer RNA (71 nucleotides) under Ginkgo biloba (maidenhair tree). RNAcentral describes it as "tRNA-Cys". Lineage: Eukaryota; Viridiplantae; Streptophyta; Ginkgoopsida; Ginkgoales; Ginkgoaceae. The record is from RNAcentral.
CCCCGGUUCAAAUCCGGGUGUCGCCUGAUUAAGGUGGAGAAAGCGAAGGAGAAGGAAAAGUUGUGAUUUCC